This 338-nucleotide ribosomal RNA is filed under the name Sciara hemerobioides. RNAcentral's name for it is "partial 16S ribosomal RNA". The record is from RNAcentral. Lineage: Eukaryota; Metazoa; Arthropoda; Insecta; Diptera; Sciaridae.
UUUUUUAAUUGAAAACUUGUAUGAAUGGUUGAAUGAGAUAUUAACUGUUUUAAUAAAAAUAUUGAAUUUUACUUUUUAAUUAAAAGGUUAAAAUAAAGUUAAAAGACGAGAAGACCCAGUAGAUUUUUAUAUUUAUAAUAUUAUAAAAUUAAAGUUUAUUUAUUUUUUAAUAAAAUAAAAUAUUUUGUUGGGGUGAUAGUGAAAUUUAAUAAACUUUUAUUAUUAAUUUAAACAUUGAUAUAUGAAUAUAUGAUCCAAAAAUUAUGAUUACAAGAUUAAAUUACCUUAGGGAUAACAGCGUAAUUUUUUUUUAAGUUCUUAUUAAUAAAAAAGUUUGC